This 595-nucleotide long non-coding RNA is filed under the name Monodelphis domestica (gray short-tailed opossum). RNAcentral's name for it is "lncRNA (ENSMODG00000050033.1)". The record is from RNAcentral. Lineage: Eukaryota; Metazoa; Chordata; Mammalia; Didelphimorphia; Didelphidae.
CAUCUCUUUACUCCCUUCAGAGCUUUUCUGUAUUCCUAUUACAGUCUGUGUUCCACAGUGACCUAACAUUGAACUAAGUUACUUAGUGAUUCAUGAGAGACAAGAGAAUUAGGCUUUCAUUUUGAUGGUUUGUAGUAUGUUCUUUUGACCAAAAGGAGAAAGUUUACUUUGUAUGAGGAGAGGAAUGGUGAAAGGACAGGAGAAAUUCUUCCUGAGAGCUAUUCUCUGUUUGAAGGACUACUUUUGCUGUUGUUUUCAGAUGGCUACAACCAGCUCCAGUAUGUGCCCAGUCUUCUGUGGGUCUUCUCUUUUGAAGAUGGAGUGGACAAACUCCUUUUCCUUGGAUGAUGUGAUGGAAGGACAGUCCUGUCCACUUCCUCUAGAGUUCUCUUUUGUACCAGAGGUGACCCUGGUUUCUCCAGGGCUAUGUCAGUAGAGCACAAACUUUGAGAUCCUACCAAAAGCCAAAGAACUAUGGAAGUAAGAAGAAUGGAUGCCUCUACAUUUGGGCACAGCUUAGAGCUACCACAUCAACCAAACUAUAUUCUAGGGAUCCAAGCAGGAGAAAGAAAAUAAAUCACUUCAAAAAAAAUCA